Molecule: small nucleolar RNA, 209 nt
Organism: Cyprinus carpio carpio
Lineage: Eukaryota; Metazoa; Chordata; Actinopteri; Cypriniformes; Cyprinidae
Gene: U3
Rfam family: Small nucleolar RNA U3
About the family: Small nucleolar RNAs (snoRNAs) are involved in the processing and modification of rRNA in the nucleolus. There are two main classes of snoRNAs: the box C/D class, and the box H/ACA class.
Source: Ensembl
AAGACUAUGUUUUCAGGGAUCAUUUCUAUAGUUCUUUGCUUGGAAAUGUAUUUGAAAAGUGUUUGUCUCCCAACCCAUGACGAUGAGCUAUGAUACUCCAUUCUGAGAGUGAAUUGAGGCGGAACUCUGGCUUUUGUUCACAAGCUCGUGUUGUUGAUGGCGUUCAUAUUGUUUUUGGCAAUGUUGAAGAAAAGUAUGAUCUGAGUGGU